CGCACCUCCACAGGCAUCCUCACCGAUCCAUGUGUUAUAACCACACACCACCGCAAUGGCUUCCACAAGUUCACCUGGAACCUCCAAAUCUAUGCACCUUCGACUGGGAGGCAGCUUAUGGAGAGACUGCUGAAAAGGCUUCAGGAAGUUCUGCAACGUCAGCCUGUGGAUUUUGACUAUUUACACUUACACUGUUUUUAGUCAUGAAAUGGGACUUGUACCCUUUCGCAUAGGCCAGUACACAUUAACCCUCAUAUGCAUUAUCAUUGCAUUUACUGUAAUUUGUUAUGAAAUAGAGUCAAAUUCUUACUUGAAUAUAUUUAUUUAUUAUUCACUGAAAAUGUAUAGAUUUAACUGUUUUGCUGGAGUCCAUACUGUAAAUGCAUGUCAUUUCAAAAACUGUUAAGGAUUAAAAUCAGUACUACAUAUAAA
This is a long non-coding RNA of Perca fluviatilis (European perch), 432 nucleotides long. RefSeq lists it as uncharacterized. NCBI's taxonomy places the organism in Eukaryota, Metazoa, Chordata, Actinopteri, Perciformes, Percidae. The record is from RefSeq and is a predicted model, not a curated record. The transcript is spliced from 2 exons.